ACAAGGUUUCCGUAGGUGACUGCGGAAGAUCAUUAUUGAUGAAUGUAGGGUCGGUUGUCGCUGGCCAUUUUUUCUUUUGGCAUGUGCACGCCUUCUCUUUCAUCCACACACACACCUGUGCACCUGUGAGACGGAGGGCUCACCCCUUUUAUUASGGGACGGUUUCCGUCUGUCGAUACACAAACUCAUUUAUUCAUUUGAAUGUAAUCGAUGUAACGCAUCUAUAAACUAAGUUUCAACAACGGAUCUCUUGGCUCUCGCAUCGAUGAAGAACGCAGCGAAAUGCGAUAAGUAAUGUGAAUUGCAGAAUUCAGUGAAUCAUCGAAUCUUUGAACGCACCUUGCGCUCCUUGGUAUUCCUUGGAGCAUGCCUGUUUGAGUAUCAUGAAAUUAUCAAAACAGACCUCUCGUUCGUUCGAUUGGUUUUUGUUUUGGACUUGGAGGUUUACUGCGGAUUCGCAUCUGCUCCUCUUAAACUCAUUAGCUGGAUCUCCGUGAACUCGGUUCCACUCGGCGUGAUAAGUAUCAUUCGCUGAGGACACCCGUAAAAAAGGUGGCCGGGGAUGCAGAUUGAACCGCUUCCAAUAGUCUGUUAGAUCAGACGAAACAUACUUUAUGAUCUGAUCUCAAAUCAGGUAGGACUACCCGCUGAACUUAA
RNAcentral lists this ribosomal RNA (657 nucleotides) under Ceratobasidium sp. CBS 154.35. RNAcentral describes it as "eukaryotic LSU rRNA". The stretch from base 231 to 384 matches the Rfam family "5.8S ribosomal RNA". The record is from RNAcentral. Lineage: Eukaryota; Fungi; Basidiomycota; Agaricomycetes; Cantharellales; Ceratobasidiaceae.